AUACGGAGGAUCCGAGCGUUAUCCGGAUUUAUUGGGUUUAAAGGGUGUGCAGGCGGGAGAUUAAGUCGGCGGUGAAAUUUUGGAGCUCAACUGUAAAAAUGCCUUCGAAACUGGGUUCCUUGAGUGUAGAUGAAGGAGGCGGAAUUUGUGGUGUAGCGGUGAAAUGCAUAGAUAUCACGAGGAACUCCGAUUGCGCAGGCAGCUUACUAAACUACUACUGACGCUCAGGCACGAAGGCGUGGGGAUCAAACAGGAUUAGAUACCCUGGUAGUCCACGCAGUAAACGAUGAUUACUAGCUGUUUGCGAUACAAUGUAAGCGGCUGAGCGAAAGCGUUAAGCAAUCCACCUGGGGAGUACGUUCGCAAGAAUGAAACUUAAAGGAAUUGACGGGG
RNAcentral lists this ribosomal RNA (393 nucleotides) under uncultured bacterium. RNAcentral's name for it is "partial 16S ribosomal RNA". It matches the Rfam family "Bacterial small subunit ribosomal RNA", at positions 523 to 918 of the family's 1533-position model. The record is from RNAcentral.